GAUGAACGCUGGCGGCGUGCCUAAUACAUGCAAGUCGAGCGAACAGAUGAGGAGCUUGCUCCUCUGACGUUAGCGGCGGACGGGUGAGUAACACGUGGAUAACCUACCUAUAAGACUGGGAUAACUUCGGGAAACCGGAGCUAAUACCGGAUAAUAUAUUGAACCGCAUGGUUCAAUAGUGAAAGACGGUUUUGCUGUCACUUAUAGAUGGAUCCGCGCCGCAUUAGCUAGUUGGUAAGGUAACGGCUUACCAAGGCAACGAUGCGUAGCCGACCUGAGAGGGUGAUCGGCCACACUGGAACUGAGACACGGUCCAGACUCCUACGGGAGGCAGCAGUAGGGAAUCUUCCGCAAUGGGCGAAAGCCUGACGUAGCAACGCCGCGUGAGUGAUGAAGGUCUUCUGAUCGUAAAACUCUGUUAUUAGGGAAGAACAAAUGUGUAAGUACCUAUGCACGUCUUGACGGUACCUAAUCAGAAAGCCACGGCUAACUACGUG
RNAcentral lists this ribosomal RNA (497 nucleotides) under uncultured bacterium. RNAcentral describes it as "partial 16S ribosomal RNA". It matches the Rfam family "Bacterial small subunit ribosomal RNA", at positions 28 to 507 of the family's 1533-position model. The record is from RNAcentral.